Molecule: long non-coding RNA, 8395 nt
Organism: Malania oleifera
Lineage: Eukaryota; Viridiplantae; Streptophyta; Magnoliopsida; Santalales; Ximeniaceae
Exons: 3
Source: RefSeq, a predicted model, not a curated record
AGGAGAGGGCCGGACGAGAGAGAGAGAGAGAGAGAGAGAGAGAGAGAGAGAGAGAGAGAGAGAGAGAGAGAGAGAGAGAGAGAGAGAGAGAGAGAGAGAGAGAGAGAGAGAGAGAGAGAGAGAGAACUAGAUGUGAUCUAGCAAAUUUCAAGAUCUACUCAUGGAUUAGACUAUUACAUCGGUUGCUGUUGGAUGAAUCAAAAUUUAGAAUUUACAGGAGAAAGUUAAGGGUGCUGGGAGAUUAGGGAACACGAGAACCCCACUCAUUCCCCACCGUCCGAUGAUCCUUCGACGUGCAAGGUCAGCACUUAUCAUCCAAAGUACCGCAUAUAUAUAUUUUUUCAUUUGAAAAUAAAAAUAUUAUUUGCAUUUUGAAAAAUACUAUUGAUAAUUUUAAUUAUUAAGUUUUUUAUAUUAAAUCAGAAUUAUAUUAUCAUGAUUAAAUGAUAAAUUUAUUUUUUAUUUUUAAUUAACAAAUUAAAAUUAAAGGGUAGAAAUUAUCAUGUAAUAUAUGAAAUAAAAACUCUGAAAUUCUAUGGCAUUUUUUAGAGUGCUGGUAGUACCUCCUUUUUUUAAGUAUUUAUUUUUUAUUUUUAAAAAUAAUUUUAUGCUAAUUGGAUGGCAAAUUUUAUAAUAAUAUAUUGAAAAGGAAGGUGUUAUCGACAUUCCAAAAAAUGUCAAUAACACUCCACAUUUAUUUAUUCAGGCAUUAAUGACAAAUUUACUCUUUUUUUUCUAAUGAAAUUAUUAACUUUCUCUCUCCUUUUUUUUUUAUUUUUUAUUUUUAUACCUGUAAAGCAAAAGUCAAAAGAUAAAUUGUCAUCUAAAAUAUAAAAUUGUAGUACCAAUAUUUGUGAAGUACAAUGCAAUAGCACUCUAAUAAAAAUAUCUUGUAAUGUACAACUGAAAAAAUUACUUGUAAUUAAUAUAUAUAAUUAUUUCAUCAUCAACUCUAGAUUAUUUAUACGUAUUUUUUAUCUCUAAAAAAUUAAAGUUAAUAAAAAUUACUAACCCUUUUAUCAAUGAAAGGCCGCCAAACUUGGAUUACACUAUAAAAAAUAACUUAUUUGACAUCUCAAUGUAACUAAGGGUUCUCUCCUUAACAAGGGAUAUAUGAUGUUUACAAUGAAUAAUUGGAUAAUUAGUGAUAAAUAUCAUAGUAAAAUAUAUACUAGUGAUGUACCUAAGAAGUAAUUAUAUGCAUAAAAAGUAAAAACUAUUGAAAUACAAACAAAUUCGGAAUAAGUUAAGCAUACUAUCGAUCAAUUGAAGCUAAGAUAAGAUAUGGAUGAUCCCACAGUCCCGGGUUUGAUCCCACUUAGCUCAAGUGGUAAGAGUGUCUUAGAGACUUUGGUAACCCGACGGUCCCGAGUUCGAUCCUACUUGAGAGUUUAUCCCAGUGAAUUAAUAGGGUGUGUCAAUUGGUGGGCAGGUCUCACCCUCCUAGGGUUGGUGCCGCACCAAGGGGUUACAAAGUAAUGCGGUGGUGGCUUACGAGUCCCUGGGUUAACAAAAAAAAAAAAAGAUAUGGGCGACUAAGAAGAAGUAAGUUAUUGUUAUUAUUAUUAGAAAAAGUAAGAGUAGAUAUAAAAUAAUACCAUAAUGAUAUAAUAUAAUGAUCAUUUGUGCUCUCGUUAAAUAGAGAAUCCUUAGUAAUUUGGAUUGUAUCGUAAAUAUUUUGAACUCUAACUAUUAAGAUGUUACCCAAGAAACAAAUCUAUAAAUAUUUAUUCAUAAUAACCUUAGAACUCACAAUAAAAAAAUAUUUAAAGCAUAUUAUUUUUAAAAGAUAAGUUUCAUUUGAAUUUUUUUAUUGCAUGUCACAUUAUUUCUUAAUUUUUUAUAUGCAAAAAUAUAAAGAUAUUGUCUAAUUUUGGUAGAAACAUUAAAAAAUAAAAAAUGAUGUGAUUUUUUUUUCAUUAUUUUUAGUGUAACUAAUUGCCAUGAGUCAAACUACAAUUAAAAAAUAUAUUAUAUUCAUUGUAAGAAGAUGAGAAACAUGAGGGUAUAACUGAAAAGUUUAAUGAUUUAUAGAUAUUCAUGUUUGUACACAAAGAAAAAGAACAGCAAAAACAAAAAUAAAAACAAACAAAACAAAUACCAGAAGAAGAAAAAACUAUGGGUAAUUGGGUGGGGAAGCAGAGAAUCUCCCCAUCUUUUUCUCCCAAUUGGGCAGACUAAAAUUAAAAGUAAAUUAUUUGGAAAAACUCUAAGGCCAUGUAAGGUUGUAAUUUUGGAAUUUAUUCAUUGCUGUUGAAAUUUGGAAGCAAAUUUUUGUUUUGGCUCUUUGUUUUCAAAAAGCAAACAAAGCACUUCCAAAGAUCAGCCAAACCGCCCCACUGGUACAUUCCCCUAUCACUUUUCCGCACGCUCAGCGGCCGCCGCCGGUGCCGGGAAAUUUGCCGCAGGCCGCCAGAGAAGAAUUCGCACGUCCGAGCUCUUGUAACCCCAUGAAUAUAUCUUCCGACAUUACCAUGUUUGGGAUGAGAAGCCCAUAGUCGUCUUCACCGUCGUCCUCUUCACCAUCAACAUUGUGAUCAUGAUCAUUAUUAUCGUCGCUGGAGAAGACUCCCAUGAUUUUUUCUGGGUUUUCUUCGUCCUCGUUAAUGGGUUGGUCUUUCACUUUAUUGGGGUUUUGGCUCGAGGUGUCGUAUUCCAUGGACGCCGUCAAUGGGGUCGUUGGCGAGAGGCUAGUGGCAGGGACCGGCGAAUUAAGAGCAGGGAAAGAAAGCUUGGCGACGACAGAUUGAUCAGCAGGAUUCAAAAUUUCACUGGAGUUGAGUCUGGGCACUCCGGAAAACUUCCUGGAACUGCCGGAGAGGGAACUUCGGUGGGUCGGACGGGGAUGGGUGUGUUCGCCGGUGUAGGUAACGACGAACACGUUCGGAUCAGAGGGGCUUCGCUCCACUUGUUUCCUUGCAGCACACCCUUUCGAGCUGCUGCACCUGUAGUAGUUCCUGAAAUUCAAGACCAACAUCAUGAUGGGCACACAAUUUUCCAGAGAAAGCGUGGAAAAUCCGAAAAGACAAUAAAAUUUUCGGGGAAACGAGAGAAAACCCAUAAAGGGUAAACCUUGGAUGUGGCGAACCCUUGAUGGGUUUUUGCCCAUAUUUGCGCCACGCCCACAUAUCCGCGGACAGUCUCUCUGCAGAGACAUGCGAGACCAUCCUCUUCUGCUGAACCUUUCUGCACAAAAAUAAAAAUUGGAAAGCGAAAUAAAAUUUCAAAAUCUAUAAAGUUUGAAACUUUGAUCAUCGUCGCAUCAAAUCAUUGCAAAAUGAAUUUAAAAUUUGAGCACCUUCUUCGAAUUGGGCGAGGGAACAUAGGAGGGCUGGGGCGGAAGGAAAGUGGAGAGCUUGGGACAUGAUGAGCCUUCUGGUGACGAAAUUGGCGGUGCAGAACUGGCUGUGUCUGCACCGGUUGGGGCUUGUGCUCCGUGAAUUCUCCGAGGACAGAAAUGGCGGGGGAGGAGGUGUUUGGGUUGAUCUGAGUGACUGCAGGUUGAGGAAGCAGAGGACUCGGAGUGUAGGGCUUGUACAAUUCUUGCAGUUCCUUAAAAUGGUUAGUGUUUGUGGGUGAACUCUCCAAGGGGUCAGGACACUGAUGCAUAUGAUAUGAAUUUUUUGAAGUCGGGGAGCUAAAGCUCGGAAAAGGGUCUGUUCCCAAGUUGGUGGUGGAGAUGGUCGUGCCGCGGGCGGAGGAUGGGGGGAAGGUGGUGGCGCAACUUCUGACCACCGCCAGCAGAUCCCAGUUAUUAUCUUCGUCCAUGUAUAUAUCGUUAUAAACACACACACACGCCCGGGGGGGGGGGGGGGGGUGUGGUUAGCUAGCUAGUUUAGGCAGCUUGACAGAAACCCAAAACCUCCAUGGCCCGAAGGUUAAACCUUUCUAUUUCUCAGUGAAUAAGGGUGUUUGUUUCUCGCGAAAUGGGGAUCAAGGAGGAUCAGAGGACGGCGCUGACUUUGGAAGAGAAAUGUGCGUGUGUGUGUGUGAGAGGGAGAGAGAGAGAGAGAGAGAGAGAGAGAGAGAGGUGGGGGUUGGGGUGGAGCACUGACCGGGAUUUGUUUAUUAUUUAUAUAGGAAGGAGAGAGAUUGAGCUGGCUGGCUAGCUCCGCUGUCAAGAGGGAGAGAGUGUGAGUUUAUUAUUAUUUUUUUUUUUUUAAAUAAUUUUUCAUUUUUUUUGUGUUUACUGUUUGUGGGAAAAAUGGGAGAAAGGAAAUGGUGGCGUUGAGGAAAUUGAUGUGGAAAAAAUUCAAAUGAAUUAGUUUCAUGUGUCUCUCUCUAGGAAAUUAUUUAUUUAUUUUUAAGAUUGACUUUUGGGAUGUCAAAAGGGUGAGAGUGGGACCAUGGGUCCAUCAAUUACCCCUCGACACGCACGGAGCACGUGUAUCCCAAAACUCUUACCUCUUCUUGGCGGGUGCACUAGAGAAGAGUGAGACAUUAGGGUUAAUACAUAUUUUAUAUUUACAUUGAAUCUCUCUCUCUCUCUCCCCGUAUGUAUAUAUCAAAUAAUAAAUUUUAUAUUGAUAUAACAAUAUUAUUUAUUAUUGCAAUUCGAUAAUAUUUCAUUGAAAAAUAGUAAACUUAGGAGGAUGAUGCAUGAUGACUUUUGCUGAUGUUUAUAGAAUACCUUUUUAUAUUCUUAUUGGAAGAAAAUCUUAUUUAAUAAUUUAAAAAAAAAUGAUAAAAUUAGCAGUGUUAAAGCUUGAUAUUUAUUAUUGGCUCACAACCUAAUAGUUUAAACUUUUAGAUAAAGUAAUAAUCUAACAUAAUAUCAGAGUUGGUUACCAGAAGGUCCUGGAUUCUAGUCUCAUUGCCCGCAUUUAUUCUGUGGUAUUUAAAAAAAAAAUUAUCACGUGUUUAUCUCUACAUGUGCGAGACCUAAUAACUUAAACUUUUAGGUAAAGUGAUAAUCUAAUAAACGACAUGACACGUACACCAUGACUCUUGCUGAUCUUUAAGUAGGACUGUGUAUGAGAUGUUUGUGGUAUGCCUUUUAGUAUGGUGAUAUGGACUAGGGGAUACAAUGAGUCAUCACCACACUCGCGUCUAAGAAUUAAAAACGACAAUAUUAGUAUGCAGCCCACUCUUUUUGUGGGCAAUGUAAAACAUUUGGAAUUCAUCUUUAAUUAUAGCUCAUAAUGCUACACAACUUAAGCAAACUAUUGCAAUACUUAUGUAUAUACAAAUUUUUUAUAAGAUAGAUUUGAUAUCUUUAAAUUAAAACAAAAUUAGGAGGAAAUAGUUUUCAACAAUGACUUUAAUGUAUAGGUUAGUUCAUAAGACUAGAAAUGUAGAAAGAAUAAUGUGCCUUUUCUUUAAUAUUUUCUUUAUUUCUUUUAUUAAUAUUUUUGGUAACAUUCUUCAAUGAUGGGACAAUUAUGCCUUCAUUGUGGGUAUUGUUAUUUUUUACAUUUAUUUAUCUAUUAGUACUAGGGCAUAUCAGCUGUCCAGUUAGUAUUUCCUGAAUUAUUGAAAGCUUCAUGGUCUACCUAUCCAAGUUGUUAUAAGAUUGCAGAUUAAGUAAAUAUGUUCGGUCUCUUUUAAUUGAGUAACCCUAAUGGCUAAACUCACUGUUGUGUAAGAAGUAAGAUGAUCAUUUUUUUUAUAUAAUUUAGCGGAGUUAGCGAAUAUCAAAUUAGUGGUUCAAUUUAACUAAUCAUCUGAACAACAUCAAGUCGUAACCUGAAAAUUUUACUUUCCAUUCAUGGUCGUAAAGUUGAGAUGAUUUUUACAGUUCAGUUGCAUAAGAUUAAUGUAUUGAAAUAGGCUUCGAGUGUUGUUUAAUUCUAAUCUUCAUUAUAAAUCUUGCUAUUUGCUUUAUGUUUUAUUUCUUUUCCCAUUUGACUAUAAUUACCAGCUCAAGCUUAAUGGGCACGCGCAAAUUUUUAGUUUCUUUUAAUUUUUAAAUCAGCUAUCUUUAAUUUAAAUAAGGUAUUAUUUUUUAAAAAUAAAGGAGUAAAGUCCAUGUAUGGCAACCAUUUAAUUAAGAGAAUAUGUCUUCAAAAUGCACCCAUGAAUCAACAAUAAAUUAUUGGAGAUGAUAUGCACCCUAAAGUAAAUGUUUAUUCAAUGCGAAUCAACUCAAAAACUCGUUUAUCUUAACUUAAAUAAAUAUUUCACUCUUUUGCUUAUGUAAAUGAAUUUUUUUACCUUAACUUACAUAAAUAUUUUACUCUUAACUAAAAGAUUUUUCAUUUAGCAACAAUAAAUCUCCUUCAUGCAUGGUUUAUUAGAUAUGCUUUCUAAGAUGUGCCAUCUAAAAAGACCAUAUUAAUUAAGAUGGUGAUAAAUGAAUAUUCGCAUAACAUUUAGCCUAGCAAAGUAAUAAAUUAUUAUUGUUAUUAUUAAUUUUUGAAAAAAAAAUAAUAAUUUUCCUUCCUAUAUUUUAAUUUUAAUAAUUUUGUACACCCUUUUCCUCUCUUGACAAAAGUAAAAAUCUUAAAUUACUAAAAUUUAACUUUUAAAAUUAUAAAAUUAACUUCUUUGCGAUGGUCAACUCAUGACAAGAGUUUCGGAGCAAAACGAUAUUAAAUCAAAUGGGAGAUUAGUAUUUUUUUUAAAUAAAAAAUACAAUUAAAGGUGUAUUGUAUAGCUGGCUAAGAUUUAUGAGAUUGGCCUACUGGUUCCAAAUUUGGAUUGUUAUUUAUGAAGGUACCUAAGUAAACAAUCAUUCAAAAGACUAAAAUAUUGUUAAAGAAAAAAUAAAGAUAGUCAAAAAAUAAAAGUGGUACAAACCUUUUAUUGCUUAGUCAAUGUUAGCCCGAGGAACGAAUUGGCUAGUGAGCUCGAUACAAAUGAGUUAAGUCCCUCUUCCUUGGGUAGUCUUAUCCGACACUUUUGUUAUACCAAUCUAAGUUGCUUUAGUGCCCAAAAUAAGCAUACGCUAAGUUACUUGAUUCAUAAAAUGUUUAUUCUGAAAAAUAAAAUGAUUAUUAAUAGAAGAAUUUGAUAUUUUAUGCAAAAAAAAAAUGUUAUUGCCAUAAAAAAAUAACAGUGCAAAAUUUAUGAAUUCAUAAAUAGAAAUAGAUAAUAAAUAAAUAAUUUUAAAUUUUACUACUAAAAUACUUAAUUCCUUUCCUAGUCCGAAGGAAUAAUAUAAACUUAUGUCUCAUUGCAUUCCCGUCAUUGUUCCUUGUUCCGUGAAGGAAACGUAACCUAAAUGAAUCGAUAAAGAUUAGAAAAGCAUCCCAAUGACCAAUGUUCGGUAUCAUUAUUUUCAUUGUUAACAUAUUAAAAAUAUUAUAAGAAGAAAAUUAAUUCCUCCAAAACUCUAAUCACACGGUUGGGACCUUUCUGGGUCCCAUAUUAUUUGCACUAGCAACAUCACAAUUCUAUAAGUCCAUAUGAUAAUUUAAUAUAUUUUGAAGUGACUUACAAAUUCUCUAUAAAAAGGUAAAAAAAAAAAACUUGUAAAAAAUGGUGCCUCUAUGUAAAAUGUUAUAUUAAUGUUAUCACUUAGUGAUUGAGAGCAUAAAUUUAGAACUUGAAUUUGAACUUAUUGAGAUUUAGAAGAAAGUAAAUUUACUUUUACCAUUCAUACCAACACUAAUUCAAAUCCCAAAUUUCAAUUUCGCACUCACAAAUGUAUGUUAAAAGAAUUUGUAGCUCAUAUCAAAUCAUAUAUCUCCAAGAUCUAACUGUGUUAUCGUGGUAACUUUUAAUUUAUGAAUUCCAAAUUUUACACUAAAGGGAUGACCUAUUACGUGUAUCUAAGUACUAAAGAGUCAUUUUAUGCUUAAAGGAUUAUAAAUUUCGUGGGAAAGAUUUCUUUAUGUUGUUCUUGCAAUAUUAAAGUAGAACAUGAGUAGACCCCACAUUAAUAAAGGGCAAACAAAUAUUUCUUGCGAAUUUAAUAGUUACAAGCAUUUUUUUUUUUCAAUAUAAAAUGUGGACCGAGGAUGGGGCCACCAGCCCAUAAAUACAUUUUCUCUCUCCAAUUUAAUUGAAAGGUUGUGUGCACUAGUGAGCGUGGGCUGGGCAGGCCCACACAAGUGGGUCGUGCAACCUAAACCGUUCGAUGAUAGACCACUUUGUCACGUCAUAGGAUUUCAUGGGCCCCACCGAACCCCCAUAGUCACACGGACAAACGCAGAAGUGAACGAGCGAGUAGAGAGAUGUUUCCAUAGUUUUUGUCACAUUACAAUAUUUGUGUUUUCAAUGUAUGAUAUCAUCGCCAUGAAUUAUGAACCGUUGAUGCAGAAUUUGAUGAUUAGAAGAUAUGCUAACACUGUAUGAGUGUAGCGCAUGGGAAGAUUAUAUCUCUUGACCAAGGAAGGAAAUUUUGUAAAUGAUAAGAAAGACAUAAAUAUUUAUGUUGCUUAGCUAAUAAUUGUUUGACAAGUUGUUAAUUCUCUUAUAGAGCAAUAUAAAAGAGGAAUAUUAUGGUUGACUA